Molecule: non-coding RNA, 22 nt
Filed under: Rattus norvegicus (Norway rat)
Lineage: Eukaryota; Metazoa; Chordata; Mammalia; Rodentia; Muridae
Source: RNAcentral
GAGUAUGCCCCCCACACCUGGC